AGUAAGGUAAGCUAAUUAAGCUAUCGGGCCCAUACCCCGAAAACGUUGGUUUCAAUCCUUCCCAUACUA
Molecule: non-coding RNA, 69 nt
Organism: Dipodomys ordii (Ord's kangaroo rat)
Lineage: Eukaryota; Metazoa; Chordata; Mammalia; Rodentia; Heteromyidae
Source: Rfam